GCACACAUAGCUCAGUUGGUAGAGCAUCUGACUUUUAAUCAGCAGGUCGCAGGUUCGAUCCCUGCUGUGUGCA
Molecule: non-coding RNA, 73 nt
Organism: Naegleria fowleri
Lineage: Eukaryota; Heterolobosea; Eutetramitea; Acrasida; Naegleriidae
Source: the annotation of a RefSeq genome assembly